This 245-nucleotide ribosomal RNA is filed under the name uncultured bacterium. Its description in RNAcentral is "partial 16S ribosomal RNA". It matches the Rfam family "Bacterial small subunit ribosomal RNA", at positions 15 to 257 of the family's 1533-position model. The record is from RNAcentral.
GAUCAUGGCUCAGGAUGAACGCUGGCGGCGUGCUUAACACAUGCAAGUCGAACGGACGAUGAAGAGCUUGCUUUUCAAAGUUAGUGGCGGACGGGUGAGUAACGCGUGGGUAACCUGCCUCAUACAGGGGGAUAACAGUUAGAAAUGGCUGCUAAUACCGCAUAAGACCACGGUACUGCAUGGUACAGUGGUAAAAACUCCGGUGGUAUGAGAUGGACCCGCGUCUGAUUAGGUAGUUGGUGAGG